UUGCCAACCUGGCAUCUUCGUUCGUGAGUAGCCCGUCAGUCACCUGUACGUUUUUCCUGUUGACUACUUCACUGUGGACUUUGCACUACUGUAGACUCGACCUCUGCGAUUUCCCCAAAUGUGGGAAUCUCGAUUGCAUAAUUUCUGGUAGUGGGGGACUGCGUUCGCGCUCUCCCCUG
Molecule: small nuclear RNA, 179 nt
Filed under: Cyclopterus lumpus (lumpfish)
Lineage: Eukaryota; Metazoa; Chordata; Actinopteri; Perciformes; Cyclopteridae
Description: U1 spliceosomal RNA (ENSCLMG00005020675.1)
Rfam family: U1 spliceosomal RNA
About the family: U1 is a small nuclear RNA (snRNA) component of the spliceosome (involved in pre-mRNA splicing). Its 5' end forms complementary base pairs with the 5' splice junction, thus defining the 5' donor site of an intron.
Source: RNAcentral